RNAcentral lists this ribosomal RNA (497 nucleotides) under uncultured bacterium. RNAcentral describes it as "partial 16S ribosomal RNA". It matches the Rfam family "Bacterial small subunit ribosomal RNA", at positions 28 to 507 of the family's 1533-position model. The record is from RNAcentral.
GAUGAACGCUGGCGGCGUGCCUAAUACAUGCAAGUCGAGCGAACAGACGAGGCGCUUGCUCCUCUGACGUUAGCGGCGGAGGGGUGAGAAACACGUGGAUAACCUACCUAUAAGACUGGGAUAACUUCGGGAAACCGGCGCUAAUACCGGAUAAUAUAUUGCACCGCAUUGUUCAUUAGUGAAAGACGGCUUUGCUGUAUCUUCUAGAUGCAUCUCCGCCGCAUUCGCUAGUUGGUAAGGUAAAGGCUUACGAAGGCAACGAUGCGUAGCCGACCUGAGAGGGUGAUCGGCCACACUGGAGCGGAGACACGGUCCAGACUCCUACGAGAGGCAGCAGUAGGGAAUCUUCCGCAAUGGGCGAAAGCCUGACGGAGCAACGCCGCGUGAGUGAUGAAGGUCUUCGGAUCGUAAAACUCUGUUAUUAGGGAAGAACAAAUGUGUAAGUAACUAUGCACGUCUUGACGGUACCUAAUCAGAAAGCCACGGCUAACUACGUG